AACACAACAAGAGACCAACAAAACCAUUACGACGUGCACAAAUGCCAUCCGACAAUUAUCUGAGGUCAUCCGAGGUUCUUCCAGGCAAGAGCGGCUUCAACUGGACCGCCUGAAGAACCAACUUUCUGAUGCCAUUCAGCGGUAUGGGACCGUUCAAAAGAAAAUUGCAGAGAAGUCCAAAGCACUGCUCCCCAAAGGACAGAGAAGUAGGAAACAG
Anolis sagrei ordinatus is the source of this 217-nucleotide non-coding RNA. NCBI's taxonomy places the organism in Eukaryota, Metazoa, Chordata, Lepidosauria, Squamata, Anolidae. The record is from RefSeq and is a predicted model, not a curated record.